Eptesicus fuscus (big brown bat) is the source of this 266-nucleotide long non-coding RNA. RefSeq lists it as uncharacterized. The transcript is spliced from 2 exons. The record is from RefSeq and is a predicted model, not a curated record. NCBI's taxonomy places the organism in Eukaryota, Metazoa, Chordata, Mammalia, Chiroptera, Vespertilionidae.
GGAAAGCUCACGCUGAGCACGGGAGCACAGCCCAUGUGGUCAAUACCAGCUCCCACAGAGGCUGGAACUGGAGCCAGGAUGAGGCAGAGAUAUCAUUAAAACUUCCAAUGGAAGGACACAGGCACUGGCAUCUGUCUUCUUUCACAGCAGCUGAGACAUAUGGAUACAAGCAGUGGAACUGGAGCUUCUUUUUAAAAGAUGGCCGAAGCACGGCUCCCUUUCAGUUGUGACCAAAUUCCUCAUCGAAAUAAAACGCGUUAAGAAAC